Molecule: ribosomal RNA, 482 nt
Filed under: uncultured bacterium
Lineage: Bacteria
Description: partial 16S ribosomal RNA
Rfam family: Bacterial small subunit ribosomal RNA
Source: RNAcentral
AUUGAACGCUGGCGGCAUGCUUUACACAUGCAAGUCGAACGGUAACAGGCCGCAAGGUGCUGACGAGUGGCGAACGGGUGCGUAAUGCAUCGGAACGUGCCCAGUCGUGGUGGAUAACUACUCGAAAGAGUAGCUAAUACCGCAUACGAUCUAUGGAUGAAAGCGGGGGACCGUAAGGCCUCGCGCGAUUGGGGCGGCCGAUGUCAGAUUAGGUAGUUGGUGGGGUAAAGGCUCACCAAGCCAACGAUCUGUAGCUGGUCUGAGAGGACGACCAGCCACACUGGGACUGAGACACGGCCCAGACUCCUACGGGAGGCAGCAGUGGGGAAUUUUGGACAAUGGGCGCAAGCCUGAUCCAGCAAUGCCGCGUGCAGGAAGAAGGCCUUCGGGUUGUAAACUGCUUUUGUACGGAACGAAACGGCUCUGGUUAAUACCCGGGGCUAAUGACGGUACCGUAAGAAUAAGCACCGGCUAACUACGUG